Molecule: long non-coding RNA, 878 nt
Organism: Bufo gargarizans (Asiatic toad)
Lineage: Eukaryota; Metazoa; Chordata; Amphibia; Anura; Bufonidae
Exons: 4
Source: RefSeq, a predicted model, not a curated record
GUCACCAGAGUCCCUGUUCUGCUAUCAGACCAUUACCAUAAAGUCUCUUUCCAUCAAGGCCAGCUCCCAAUUAUAUCAAGACACAGCUGCCGAUAGAGUCCCCAAGGUGCAGCCAUCUGAAGGCAACAUUCAGCGCCUGGAACUGGUAGCCAACCAAUAUGCAUGACCAGAAGUGACGUCACAGAUACAUGGACUCAGGAUGGAACACGUGAAACUCUCUUCACAGCAGCCCAAUGAGAUUACAGAAGUGGCGCGCAUUUCAGGCUGGACACUUUAUGGCAGAACACAUGUGAGCUCUAUGGGCAUAAAUAACAGCUACGGUAAUGCAACAUGGUAAAGAUGUCACAAUGGCCAGCAAAACAGAAAGUCCUUUGCCUGAACACUAACCUGUGGAAGCUGGGUACUAGGCAACAUAGCCAGCUCAUGGUGGCCACUAUCUGGCCAUCACUUGCCUAGAUGCCAUGUUCUACCCUAAUGUAUUUAAGAAGGAUUCUAGGAUCAGGUCUCUGCACUUCAUACAAAUCCCAGUUCAGAUUCUCCCACAUGUCACCAUCUGUAAUUACCUUCCAUUGAUGAAAGUGUAAAUCCAUGUGUGAGGAUGGAAGAACAAAGGACCUCUUCCCAUCGGGGACCACCACCAAAAACUUCUACCAUGAAAAAUUUCCGAUAUCUGUUAUUGACUCCAACCCCUUCAGUCAGUACCAUCUAAGACCUCCUCAUGCCAGCUGUCACAAAUGUGAUCCACAGUCGCACCGCACCGACUCGACUCGGUGUUGACAAAUAUGUCAGGGUACCAGAACCACCUGUUUUCCGUGACGGCUUACCACUGGGGACCACCAGAAAAACCUACUUCCAUGACAGCGAUACCUUUUACCGAC